This 47-nucleotide small RNA is filed under the name Arabidopsis thaliana (thale cress). RNAcentral describes it as "ATSL153420". Lineage: Eukaryota; Viridiplantae; Streptophyta; Magnoliopsida; Brassicales; Brassicaceae. The record is from RNAcentral.
UUGACUAUAUAAGAGAUAAUGCAUGUAUGUUCAAAAGUAAAAUGAAA